This 423-nucleotide ribosomal RNA is filed under the name uncultured bacterium. Its description in RNAcentral is "bacterial SSU rRNA". It matches the Rfam family "Bacterial small subunit ribosomal RNA", at positions 207 to 622 of the family's 1533-position model. The record is from RNAcentral.
AAGACCUUGCACUUUUGGAGCGGCCGAUGUCUGAUUAGCUAGUUGGUGGGGUAAUGGCCUACCAAAGCUUCGAUCAGUAGCUGGUCUGAGAGGACGGCCAGCCACACUGGGACUGAGACACGGCCCAGACUCCUACGGGAGGCAGCAGUGGGGAAUUUUGGACAAUGGGGGAAACCCUGAUCCAGCCAUGCCGCGUGAGUGAAGAAGGCCUUCGGGUUGUAAAGCUCUUUCAGCCGGAACGAAACGGUUACGGAUAAUACCCGUGACUACUGACGGUACCGGAAGAAGAAGCACCGGCUAACUACGUGCCAGCAGCCGCGGUAAUACGUAGGGUGCGAGCGUUAAUCGGAAUUACUGGGCGUAAAGCGUGCGCAGGUGGUUUUGUAAGUCAGAUGUGAAAGCCCCGGGCUCAACCUGGGAACU